RNAcentral lists this transfer RNA (95 nucleotides) under Amborella trichopoda. RNAcentral describes it as "tRNA AMTR_s00045t00278810". Lineage: Eukaryota; Viridiplantae; Streptophyta; Magnoliopsida; Amborellales; Amborellaceae. The record is from RNAcentral.
UGGGAGAGAUGGCUGAGUGGUUGAUAGCUCUGGUAUUGAAAAAAAGUAUAGUUCCGAACAAAGAACUAUCCAGGGUUUGAAUCCCUCUCUCUCAU